This is a small nucleolar RNA of Pseudophryne corroboree (corroboree frog), 215 nucleotides long. RefSeq annotates it as small nucleolar RNA U3. Lineage: Eukaryota; Metazoa; Chordata; Amphibia; Anura; Myobatrachidae. The record is from RefSeq and is a predicted model, not a curated record. The transcript has a single exon.
AAGACUAUACUUUCAGGGAUCAUUUCUAUAGUUUUUAACUUAGGAAAUGUGCUCUAAAGUGUCCAGACCAUCCAACCACGAUGAGGAGCGUCAGUGUUUCCUUCUGAGCGUGAAGUGAGCUUAUAGUGCUGCUUUUUUGUGGCUGCUGUUUGCUUUUGAUGACCGUUCCGCUCUCUCUUGGGGGAGUUGGAGGAAGGGAACACAAGCUGAGUGGU